Heterocephalus glaber (naked mole-rat) is the source of this 2629-nucleotide long non-coding RNA. Lineage: Eukaryota; Metazoa; Chordata; Mammalia; Rodentia; Bathyergidae. The record is from Ensembl.
GUAUCAAGGUGCAUCCUUCUUUAUGGCAGAGUAGUACUCCAUUUUGUGCAAAUGCCACACUUUGAUGGACCUAUAGGCUGCUCCCAAGAUUUAGCUAUUACGAAUUGUGGUGCUAUCAUCUUGGAUAUGUGUGUAUCACUGUAAUAUGAUGUCUUUAAGUCUUUCAGAAAGAUACUGAGAAGAGGAAUAACUGGAUCGAGUGGAUUUUCUAGUUUUCGUUUUUGAGGAAUCUCCAUUCUGAUUUCCAUAGUGGUUGUAUUAGUUUACAUUCCCACUAACAGUGUAGAAGGGUUCCUUUUUCUCCCCACAGCCUUGCCAGCGUUUGUUACUUGAUUUCUUGAUAAUGCCGUUCUUUCUGAAGUGAGAUGGAAUCUCAGUGUUGUUUUGAUUUGCAAUUCUCUCUUGGCCAAAGGUGCUGAGCACUUUUUUCAUGUACCUCUUGGCCAUUUUUACUUCUUCUGAGAAGUGUCUGUUCGUUUCAAUUGCCUAUUUUUUGAUUUGACCUUUUAUUUGGGGAUAUCUAUUUUUUCUGAAUUCUUUAUUCUAGAUAUUAGUCCUCUGUCUGUGGAGUAGCUGGGAAUUUUCUCCCCACUCUAUAGGUUUUCUCUUCAUUCUGUUGGUUGUUUCCUUGGCUGUGCAGAAGCUUUUUUACUUUGAUGUGUUGAAUUCUGGUACUAUUUCUUGUGCCAUUGGGGUUCUGUUCAGAAAGUCCUUGCCUAUGUCUGUGUCAAGGGUUUUACUUAUUUGAUCUUCCUCUAGUUUGCGUGUUUAAUAUUUGGGUCUUCGAUCCAUUUCCCUUUGAUUUUGGUGCAGGGUGAGCGACGUGGGUGUAGACUCGGUUCUCUGCGGGCGGAUGGAUAAUCGGUGUUCGGAUGCCUUUUCGCGGCGGAUGGUUUUGGUUUCUUUGUUGAAGGGGAUGACAGAGGCUCCGAGAGGCCAGGCUGCUUGUCUGAGGUCACCGCAGCAGCGGUAGCAGGGCUGGACACCGAGCGGUCGUCCUGCCGUACCCUAUACCCCGCGGAGGCCUGGACGGAGCGCGCGUGGUGAGGGGGCGUCUUCCGGUGGGCUCCCUGCAGCCUGAGAGGCAGGGAAGAGCGGGAGGCGGCGCUCGGGAAGUCCUCUCUGGCCGGCCGUCCACUGUCACGGAGGCCAGGAGGCGGGGAAUCCUUCUGUGAGACCGAGCGCCAGGGAUGCCACGGGGGUGGCCCGCGGAUGUGAGGCCAGCGCAGAGUCCCGGGACCGACUUGGUGAAAUGCCAAACAGCAGUAGAUCAACAGAGGGCCACCUGGUGUCCCAGCUUUCUCCAGGCAGGCACAUCCACAUCCUCGCUCCAGCCCUGGCGGGGUCCGUCUUCCUCUCCCGCCCUAUCCGUCCUCUCUUCUGCCACAGUCAACCUUUCGUUCCCCUCUGACGAUUGGCAAUAUGGUCAAAGAAGGUAUAGGGUUUAUAGUCUCAGUCACCUGAAUUUUUAAACUAGUUGAUUUAAGUGGACAAUGCAUGGAUUUAAUUAGUGAAAUGGUACUUAAAACACUAGUCUUGAAAACAGAAAUCUCCUCCCUUUCACCUUUCCACCCGCCUAGCUCCCCAGGACCGGGGGUUGAUUAGGUGGGAGCUGAGAAAACAGCAAGGGAAAGGGACAAACCAUUUCAUCAGGUUGUUGCGGAGGCUCUUUGAAACAGACAAUACCUUUAAUUCUGCCAACUGCAAAACAUAUUACUUCCGAGAGAGCUCUUAUUACCUAUUAACCUUUUAAAAAAAUGGUGUAAAAUACAUUAAACAUAACAUUUGCCAUUUUAUCCUUUUUUUGUUUUUGGUAUUGGGGAUUGAACCCAGGCCCUUCACACUGAGCUACAUCCCCAGCCUUUUUUAUUUUGAGAGAUGAUCUCGCUAAGUCACUGAGUUGCCCAGGGUCUGGGCCCAAACUUGGGAUCUCCUGCCUUAGUCUUGCAGAGUGCUGGGAUUACAAUGUGUGCCACCACUCCCAAGUCGUUUUACGCAGUUUUCAUUGUAUGGUUGUGUGGCAUCACCUGCAAUGACCUCGGUCUGCGAGCACCACCACCCUCGCUCCCCAGAAAUCUGUCCUGAAAGCACUUGCUUUGUCACUUACAGUGUCCUCCAGGCUCCUCUGCGUUGCAACGGGUACCAGAAUUUCUCUCCCUUUGAGACUGAAUAACGCUCCGGUGCAUGGAUGGGCCACGAGUUUGAAUCCAUUUAUUUUGGGAUAGACACUUGGUUUGCUUUCACUUCCCUGCUGUUGUGAAAGAUGCUGCUAUGGACGCGGGUUUGAAAAUAUCUUUUAGCUUCUACUUUAAUUCUCGGUAUACUCACGGAGUUGCUGGAUCAUACAGUGAUCUCUCUCUUUUUUUUUACUUUUGGGAUAGCAUUUCAUUGUGUAGUCCAGGCUGGACUUGAAAUUGCUUUUAACCCAAGCUGGCCUUAAACUCCUAAUCCUCCUGCCUCAGCCUCCCGAGUACUGGGAUUACAAGCACCCCACUGGAGGGGGCUGGUGUGCCGUUUCCAUAGCGGCAGCAGCAUUUCACUCUCCUGCCAGCAUUGCAGGGUCCAAUUCCUUUAUAUCCUUGCCAGCACUCGCUUUUGGCUUUUGAUCGCAGCCACCCUAACCCUUGAC